AAUAAAAAUAAUAAAUCAUUUUGGUGCGGAGUUUUGAAAUUCAUAUUCACACACACACACACACACACACACACACAC
Long non-coding RNA from Sander lucioperca (pikeperch), 78 nucleotides. RefSeq lists it as uncharacterized. The transcript has 3 exons. The record is from RefSeq and is a predicted model, not a curated record. Lineage: Eukaryota; Metazoa; Chordata; Actinopteri; Perciformes; Percidae.